UCCGGUUUAACACCGGCAGUCUCCAUAGAGUGCCCAACUAAAUGAUGGCAACUAGGGAUAAGGGUUGCGCUCGUUAAGGGACUUAACCCGACAUCUCACGAUACGAGCUGACGACAGCCAUGCAGCACCUGCCUCGCUGCCCCCGAAGGGGAAACCGUAUCUCUACGGCGGUCAGCGGAUGUCAAACCCAGGUAAGGUUCUUCGCGUUGCAUCGAAUUAAUCCGCAUGCUCCGCCGCUUGUGCGGGCCCCCGUCAAUUCCUUUGAGUUUUAGCCUUGCGGCCGUACUCCCCAGGCGGGGCGCUUAAUGCGUUAGCUACGGCACGGAUUCCGUGGAAGGAACCCACACCUAGCGCCCACCGUUUACGGCGUGGACUAC
RNAcentral lists this unclassified non-coding RNA (377 nucleotides) under uncultured bacterium. RNAcentral describes it as "contains 16S-23S intergenic spacer region". The record is from RNAcentral.